Non-coding RNA from Pantherophis guttatus, 1935 nucleotides. NCBI's taxonomy places the organism in Eukaryota, Metazoa, Chordata, Lepidosauria, Squamata, Colubridae. The record is from RefSeq and is a predicted model, not a curated record.
UUCCUUGGCGGUGGCUUUCGUCUUCCUUCCCUCGCUUUUCUUCCUCGUGGAAACGGAUCGGAAGUCCGCAGUUGCUCCCUUUCCAGUGUUGUCCUUAAAAAUGGGAUCCCUCUCGUGGCGAAAGGGCGCUCUUGGUCCCGCAUUGAGACAGUUCCCGCGUUCACACGUUCAAGUCAGCUUCGCCUUGGGCGGUCGGAGACCGUUAGGAUGCCCCCCCCCUCCUCCCGCCUAUCACGCCACAAUUGUCUGCUUGGGACAUUGAAGAGGGAUUUCACUCCCAUCCGCGAGAGUCCGUGUCUCCUCAAAGUGGUCAGAUCUUGUUCACAGAGGUCGCUCCUAUCAUUCCUCCUGUAACUCUCCUGCUGAAAUUCAGUGGGCUUUUAUCCAAUCGGGGAGUGACCCCUUUUCCCCAUUCUUAGAAAGAAGUUACAUUUAAGUUUCUACGUAGCCAUUAUUAUUAGGUAAAAUCACCAUGACGUAUACUGUAGUGGCAUUACAAGACCAGGAUGCUGUAUGAUGCUAGGGAGGACAAAGGAAUAUGGAACUCUAGCUGGUUAUCAAUAUAUCACUGAGAGAAUAAAGGAACUACAAUCUAUGAUAGAAAAGAAAGAGUAAGCAAGUUGAGCUAAUUUAAAUAAAUUUCUGGGGCCACAUGGGCUACCUACUAAAGGAACUAAAGUUUUGUGAUAACAAAACUACCCUUAAACUAACCUUUAAGAACUCCAGGAAUACUGAUAUAUGGGAACUCAGAUUGUUGGAGGCAAUAUGCUGACAUUGUAAACUGCCCAGAAAGUGCUAUAAAGCACUGUGGGGCAGAAUGUAAGUCCAAGUGCUAUUUCUAUAUCUCAGGGGACCAGAAGCGAGCAUACUUUAUCCCUAUCUUUAACAAGGGUAAGAAUGAGACUUCAAAAAACUACAGAUCAGUUUGAUAUCUACAUUUGGAAAGGACUUUGAAAGGAUUGUCAAGCAGUAUGUUAAUGAAGCAUGCUACAAUUAGCAAGAUCCAGGAUAGGUUUAUCAUAGACCGAUUGUACUGUACUAAUCUUCCAUAGAGUUACUAGCAUAGUAAAUAAAAGGAUGCCAUAGAUAUAGCAUUCCUGGAUGUAAGCCAAGCCUUAAGACAGAGUGCCUCUUGAUAUUCUCCUCCAUAAAUGGGUAAAAUAUAGACUAAAUUAGGGGUCUCAAAUACAUAGCCAACAGACUAUUUUUGGUCUCCUGAGGUUUGGUGUUCGGUUUGUUUUUGUUUUUUGUACGAUCCAAACAGAUCACUAACAUUAACAAAGAGAAAAAGAAAAAGAAUGAUUGCAGACGAAAACCAUUGUCACGAUGAGUGGGAAAAUUAUAUUUGGGUUAUAGAGAUGAAAGAUCAAAGUUAGUGUUUCAUUUGUUUGCAAUGUUUUUUAGUUGUAAAGGCGAUGCACCAAGAGAAGUAUGCAGCAAUAACGGGCAAAAUGCAAGACAAAACAGUUUAGCAACUCAAGGCAGUUCUUGCAAAACAACAAAACUUUUUCACAAAUAUCAAUAAAUCAAGCUAAGAUUCUACUAAGUGCAAGUUUCAUCAUGAAAUGAUUACAAAAUCAUAAGGACCAUUAACUGAAGAAAGAAAAAGCUUCUGGAGGAAGAAAUGGUAGAUUGAAGAUGGUGGUACCACAAAAGAUGGGAUUAACGAUGAUGGGGAAGAAUGAAGAGUUGGGUGCAGCCUAUCUCAUUUGAUAUUUGAGACUGAAUGGCAGCCAACAGUUUCAAUAAAAAGCUCAAAAGCACAACAUGAGGGCAAUAGCUAAGAAAAGCUGGAAGAUGAAGUCCAGACAUCUAAAAGUUGCCAAGGUUGAGAAACACUGUAUUCAGAAAAGUAGAUAAUUAGAGUUCCCAUUGAUAAGCAUUACAGUAAAACAAAAUUAUACAAUUAAAAAAUCUCUCAAAUGAAUUAACAAA